RNAcentral lists this ribosomal RNA (867 nucleotides) under uncultured bacterium. RNAcentral's name for it is "bacterial SSU rRNA". It matches the Rfam family "Bacterial small subunit ribosomal RNA", at positions 582 to 1448 of the family's 1533-position model. The record is from RNAcentral.
AGUAAGUNUGAAGUUAAAGGCAUUGGCUCAACCAAUGUAUGCUUUGGAAACUGUUAGACUUGAGUGCAGAAGGGGAGAGUGGAAUUCCAUGUGUAGCGGUGAAAUGCGUAGAUAUAUGGAGGAACACCGGUGGCGAAAGCGGCUCUCUGGUCUGUCACUGACGCUGAGGCUCGAAAGCGUGGGUAGCGAACAGGAUUAGAUACCCUGGUAGUCCACGCCGUAAACGCUGAGUGCUAGGUGUUAGGUCCUUUCCGGGACUUAGUGCCGACGCUAACGCAUUAAGCACUCCGCCUGGGGAGUACGACCGCAAGGUUGAAACUCAAAGGAAUUGACGGGGGCCCGCACAAGCGGUGGAGCAUGUGGUUUAAUUCGAAGCAACGCGAAGAACCUUACCAGGUCUUGACAUCCCGAUGCCCGCUCUAGAGAUAGAGUUUUUCUUCGGAACAUCGGAGACAGGUGGUGCAUGGUUGUCGUCAGCUCGUGUCGUGAGAUGUUGGGUUAAGUCCCGCAACGAGCGCAACCCUUAUUGUUAGUUGCCAUCAUUAAGUUGGGCACUCUAGCGAGACUGCCGGUAAUAAACCGGAGGAAGGUGGGGAUGACGUCAAAUCAUCAUGCCCCUUAUGACCUGGGCUACACACGUGCUACAAUGGUUGGUACAACGAGUCGCAAGCCGGUGACGGCAAGCUAAUCUCUGAAAGCCAAUCUCAGUUCGGAUUGUAGGCUGCAACUCGCCUACAUGAAGUCGGAAUCGCUAGUAAUCGCGGAUCAGCACGCCGCGGUGAAUACGUUCCCGGGCCUUGUACACACCGCCCGUCACACCACGAGAGUUUGUAACACCCAAAGUCGGUGAGGUAACCAUUUAUGGGG